UACAGAGGUGGCAAGCGUUGUUCGGAAUUACUGGGCGUAAAGGGCGCGUAGGCGGCCCGCCAAGUCCCGUGUGAAAGCCCCCGGCUCAACCGGGGAACGGCGCGGGAAACUAGCGGGCUUGAGUUCGGGAGAGGGAGGCGGAAUUCCGGGUGUAGCGGUGAAAUGCGCAGAUAUCCGGAGGAACACCGGUGGCGAAGGCGGCUUCCUGGACCGACACUGACGCUGAGGCGCGAAAGCUAGGGGAGCAAACGGG
RNAcentral lists this ribosomal RNA (253 nucleotides) under uncultured bacterium. RNAcentral's name for it is "partial 16S ribosomal RNA". It matches the Rfam family "Bacterial small subunit ribosomal RNA", at positions 524 to 776 of the family's 1533-position model. The record is from RNAcentral.